UAGGGAAACUUACGCUAAUACCGCAUGCGCCCUUCGGGGAAAGCCGGGGACCUUCGGGCCUGGCGCGAUUGGAUGAGCCCACGUCGGAUUAGCUAGUUGGCGGGUAAAGGCCCACCAAGGCGACGAUCCGUAGCUGGUCUGAGAGGAUGAUCAGCCACACUGGAACUGAGACACGGUCCAGACUCCUACGGGAGGCAGCAGUAGGGAAUAUUGGACAAUGGGCGCAAGCCUGAUCCAGCCAUGCCGCGUGAGUGAAGAAGGCCCUCGGGUUGUAAAGCUCUUUUGUCCGGAAAGAAAAGCGCCGGGUUAAUACCCUGGUGUCCUGACGGUACCGGAAGAAUAAGCACCGGCUAACUUCGUG
Molecule: ribosomal RNA, 361 nt
Filed under: uncultured bacterium
Lineage: Bacteria
Description: bacterial SSU rRNA
Rfam family: Bacterial small subunit ribosomal RNA
Source: RNAcentral